GUCAGUCAGUGUGUCUGUAUGAACCCCUCUCUCUCAGUGCAGUGUUAAUGUACUGGAGUGUCCAGUCAGUCAGUGUGUCUGUAUGAACCCCUCUCUCUUUUUCUCUCUCAGGGAAAUGGGUCGCUCACAGACAAUCAGUGUGGUCACUCUGUUCUUCAAUGAUCUGAAUAUGGAGAAGGAGUACCGCUUCUCCAAGAUGAAGAACCUGUUCGUCUCCUUGAUCUGCACCAUCCUCAUCUUCACAGCCGUCUUCAUCAUCCAGAUGCUGGUGUCCGACAAGAACGCGGCUCUGGGUGUGUCGUAUGGAGUCACGUUCUUUGUCCUGGCUCUGAUACUGCUAGUCUGCUGCACCGGACUGCUGGAGGUAGGUGCUCUUCUUACUGCUGUUAUUACUACUGCUCUUAUUACUACUGUUAUUAAUACUGUUAUUACCACUGCUCUUAUUACUACUGCUCUUAUUACUACUGUAAUUAUUAUUGCUUUUAUUACUACUGUUAUUACUACUGCUCUUAUUACUACUGCAGUUAUUAUUGCUCUUGUUACUGCCGCAGGUACAGUAUAAUUGUUGUGAUUACUACUGUUAUUAAUACUGCUGUUAUCACUACUGUUAUAACUUCUGCUCAUAUUUUUACUGACUGACUACAGUCAGUCAGUGUGUCUGUAUUAAGUCUGUGUGCUCUGAUGGCAUGCUCUGACAGUGUGCUCAGGAGGUGUGCUCUGAUGGCCUGUUCUCAUACUGUGCUCAGGAGGUGUGAUCUGACAG
RNAcentral lists this long non-coding RNA (763 nucleotides) under Lepisosteus oculatus (spotted gar). RNAcentral describes it as "lncRNA (ENSLOCG00000022465.1)". The record is from RNAcentral. Lineage: Eukaryota; Metazoa; Chordata; Actinopteri; Semionotiformes; Lepisosteidae.